Molecule: ribosomal RNA, 270 nt
Filed under: uncultured bacterium
Lineage: Bacteria
Description: partial 16S ribosomal RNA
Rfam family: Bacterial small subunit ribosomal RNA
Source: RNAcentral
UUUGAUGGCGACCGGCGCACGGGUGAGUAACACGUAUCCAACCUGCCGAUGACUCGGGGAUAGCCUUUCGAAAGAAAGAUUAAUACCCGAUGGCAUAGUUCUUCCGCAUGGUGGAACUAUUAAAGAAUUUCGGUCAUCGAUGGGGAUGCGUUCCAUUAGGUUGUUGGCGGGGUAAUGGCCCACCAAGCCUUCGAUGGAUAGGGGUUCUGAGAGGAAGGUCCCCCACAUUGGAACUGAGACACGGUCCAAACUCCUACGGGAGGCAGCAUG